RNAcentral lists this long non-coding RNA (221 nucleotides) under Elaeis guineensis (African oil palm). RNAcentral's name for it is "long non-coding RNA (EGUI_LNC025554)". Lineage: Eukaryota; Viridiplantae; Streptophyta; Magnoliopsida; Arecales; Arecaceae. The record is from RNAcentral.
UGCUACGCAGCGAUAGGAUUGUGCUGAAGGAGAAGAAGGAAAGCAGAAGACAUUAUUACACGGCGGGGAGCCAAGUGCGAGGUAGAGUUUCAGAAGCCAGGUGGAGUCCAAAGCGAGGUGGAGCUCCAGAUGAAGGUGGAUCGGGCACAAGACAGGAGACUUGGAAGGAUGAGAGGUGACGUCGCAAGGUGAGAUUCUUAUUACCGCAGGAUGAUGCCCCG